This 252-nucleotide ribosomal RNA is filed under the name uncultured bacterium. Its description in RNAcentral is "partial 16S ribosomal RNA". It matches the Rfam family "Bacterial small subunit ribosomal RNA", at positions 524 to 776 of the family's 1533-position model. The record is from RNAcentral.
UACGAAGGGGGCUAGCGUUGCUCGGAAUUACUGGGCGUAAAGGGCGCGUAGGCGGACAACUUAGUCAGAGGUGAAAGCCCAGGGCUCAACCUUGGAACUGCCUUUGAUACUGGUUGUCUUGAGUUCGGGAGAGGUGAGUGGAAUGCCGAGUGUAGAGGUGAAAUUCGUAGAUAUUCGGCGGAACACCAGUGGCGAAGGCGACUCACUGGCCCGAUACUGACGCUGAGGCGCGAAGCGUGGGGAGCAAACGGG